This 881-nucleotide ribosomal RNA is filed under the name uncultured bacterium. Its description in RNAcentral is "bacterial SSU rRNA". It matches the Rfam family "Bacterial small subunit ribosomal RNA", at positions 1 to 895 of the family's 1533-position model. The record is from RNAcentral.
CCCUUAGAGUUUGAUCCUGGCUCAGRACGAACGCUGGCGGCGCGCCUAACACAUGCAAGUCGAACGGAGCUGAGAAGAGCUUGCUUUUCUUAGCUUAGUGGCGAACGGGUGAGUAACGCGUGAGUAACCUGCCCUGGAGUGGGGGACAACAGUUGGAAACGACUGCUAAUACCGCAUAAGCCCACGGAUCCGCAUGGAUCUGCGGGAAAAGGAUUUAUUCGCUUCAGGAUGGACUCGCGUCCAAUUAGCUAGUUGGUGAGGUAACGGCCCACCAAGGCGACGAUUGGUAGCCGGACUGAGAGGUUGAACGGCCACAUUGGGACUGAGACACGGCCCAGACUCCUACGGGAGGCAGCAGUGGGGGAUAUUGCACAAUGGGGGAAACCCUGAUGCAGCGACGCCGCGUGGAGGAAGAAGGUUUUCGGAUUGUAAACUCCUGUCGUUAGGGACGAUAAUGACGGUACCUAACAAGAAAGCACCGGCUAACUACGUGCCAGCAGCCGCGGUAAAACGUAGGGUGCAAGCGUUGUCCGGAAUUACUGGGUGUAAAGGGAGCGCAGGCGGACCGGCAAGUUGGAAGUGAAAACUAUGGGCUCAACCCAUAAAUUGCUUUCAAAACUGCUGGCCUUGAGUAGUGCAGAGGUAGGUGGAAUUCCCGGUGUAGCGGUGGAAUGCGUAGAUAUCGGGAGGAACACCAGUGGCGAAGGCGACCUACUGGGCACCAACUGACGCUGAGGCUCGAAAGCAUGGGUAGCAAACAGGAUUAGAUACCCUGGUAGUCCAUGCCGUAAACGAUGAUUACUAGGUGUUGGAGGAUUGACCCCUUCAGUGCCGCAGUUAACACAAUAAGUAAUCCACCUGGGGAGUACGACCGCAAGGUU